GGAAUCGCUAGUAAUCGUAGAUCAGAAUGCUACGGUGAAUACGUUCCCGGGCCUUGUACACACCGCCCGUCACACCAUGGGAGUGGGUUGCAAAAGAAGUAGGUAGCUUAACCUUCGGGAGGGCGCUUACCACUUUGUGAUUCAUGACUGGGGUGAAGUCGUAACAAGGUAACCGUAGGGGAACCUGCGGUUGGAUCACCUCCUUACCUUAAAGAA
RNAcentral lists this ribosomal RNA (216 nucleotides) under Klebsiella pneumoniae. Its description in RNAcentral is "partial 16S ribosomal RNA". It matches the Rfam family "Bacterial small subunit ribosomal RNA", at positions 1328 to 1533 of the family's 1533-position model. Lineage: Bacteria; Pseudomonadati; Pseudomonadota; Gammaproteobacteria; Enterobacterales; Enterobacteriaceae. The record is from RNAcentral.